UGGCAGGACCAUUUCUUCCCCUGGACCUUCUUAGGAACAUAGAAGAUCGCAAUAUUAUGCAGCCAAACCCUUUUUGGCUUCCUCGUCUGAUCUAAAUGCUGCACAAAGGUUCUAAAGUUUAGACACAACGCAGAACAUAAUAAGAGGACAAGGAAGACGAAGAAGAAAGAAAAAUUCUUCUUUUAACAAAUGUGUGAAACAGGGGUAAGGAAGAAGACAACACAAGCGAGAUAGAGUAAACAUAAAACAGAGCAGAAAAAUAAAAUAAAAACAGGUCAGAUUCACCUUACUUCCCCCUUAGUUUGUCUACUUUUUCUUAAAUGUGACUCGUUGAAUGCUCCAUGGU
Molecule: long non-coding RNA, 346 nt
Organism: Arabidopsis thaliana (thale cress)
Lineage: Eukaryota; Viridiplantae; Streptophyta; Magnoliopsida; Brassicales; Brassicaceae
Product: other RNA
Exons: 1
Source: RefSeq